Molecule: ribosomal RNA, 460 nt
Filed under: uncultured Streptococcus sp.
Lineage: Bacteria; Bacillati; Bacillota; Bacilli; Lactobacillales; Streptococcaceae
Description: bacterial SSU rRNA
Rfam family: Bacterial small subunit ribosomal RNA
Source: RNAcentral
CCGCACAAGCGGUGGAGUAUGUGGUUUAAUUCGACGCAACGCGCAGAACCUUACCAGGUCUUGACAUCCCGAUGCUAUUUCUAGAGAUAGAAAGUUACUUCGGUACAUCGGUGACAGGUGGUGCAUGGUUGUCGUCAGCUCGUGUCGUGAGAUGUUGGGUUAAGUCCCGCAACGAGCGCAACCCCUAUUGUUAGUUGCCAUCAUUCAGUUGGGCACUCUAGCGAGACUGCCGGUAAUAAACCGGAGGAAGGUGGGGAUGACGUCAAAUCAUCAUGCCCCUUAUGACCUGGGCUACACACGUGCUACAAUGGUUGGUACAACGAGUUGCGAGUCGGUGACGGCGAGCUAAUCUCUUAAAGCCAAUCUCAGUUCGGAUUGUAGGCUGCAACUCGCCUACAUGAAGUCGGAAUCGCUAGUAAUCGCGGAUCAGCACGCCGCGGUGAAUACGUUCCCGGGCCUU